RNAcentral lists this ribosomal RNA (469 nucleotides) under uncultured bacterium. RNAcentral's name for it is "partial 16S ribosomal RNA". It matches the Rfam family "Bacterial small subunit ribosomal RNA", at positions 28 to 507 of the family's 1533-position model. The record is from RNAcentral.
GACGAACGCUGGCGGCGUGCUUAACACAUGCAAGUCGAACGGAAAGGCCCUGCUUUUGUGGGGUGCUCGAGUGGCGAACGGGUGAGUAACACGUGAGUAACCUGCCCUUGACUUUGGGAUAACUUCAGGAAACUGGGGCUAAUACCGGAUAGGAGCUCCUGCUGCAUGGUGGGGGUUGGAAAGUUUCGGCGGUUGGGGAUGGACUCGCGGCUUAUCAGCUUGUUGGGGGGGUAGUGGCUUACCAAGGCUUUGACGGGUAGCCGGCCUGAGAGGGUGACCGGACGAAUGGGGAAUUGGUGUGCGGCCCGGAGCCCAAGGGGGGCCGGUGGGGGGGAAUAUGGAACAAGGGGGGAAGGCUAUGUGCAGCAGCGCCGCGUGCGGGGGGGGGGCAUUGGGUUUGAACCCGCUUUUCGCCGGGGAGGGGGGGGGGGGGACGGUAAGGUGUAAAGAGGCCCCGGCUAACUACGUG